CAGCCGCCGCGGUAAUACGAAGGGGGCUAGCGUUGUUCGGAUUUACUGGGCGUAAAGCGCACGUAGGCGGAUCGAUCAGUCAGGGGUGAAAUCCCAGAGCUCAACUCUGGAACUGCCUUUGAUACUGUCGAUCUGGAGUAUGGAAGAGGUGAGUGGAAUUCCGAGUGUAGAGGUGAAAUUCGUAGAUAUUCGGAGGAACACCAGUGGCGAAGGCGACACACUGGCUCAUUACUGACGCUGAGGCGCGAAAGCGUGGGGAGCAAACAGGAUUAGAUACCCCGGUAGUCCCUGUCUCUUAUAC
This 301-nucleotide ribosomal RNA is filed under the name uncultured bacterium. Its description in RNAcentral is "partial 16S ribosomal RNA". It matches the Rfam family "Bacterial small subunit ribosomal RNA", at positions 509 to 807 of the family's 1533-position model. The record is from RNAcentral.